GACGAACGCUGGCGGCGUGCUUAACACAUGCAAGUCGAACGGAAAGGCCCUGCUUUUGUGGGGUGCUCGACUUGCGAACGGGUGAGUAACACUUGAGUAACCUGCCCUUGACUUUGGGAUAACUUCAUAAAACUGGGGCUAAUACCGGCUAGGAGCUCCUGCUGCAGGGUGGGCGUUGGAAAGUUUAGGCGGUUGGUAGUGGACUCGCGGCUUAUCAGCUUGUUGGUGGGGUAGUGGCUGACCAAGGCUUUGACGGGUAGCCGGCCUGGGAGGGUGACCGGCCCAGCUGGGACGGAGCUACGGCCCGGCCCCGUACGGGAGGCAGCAGUGGGGAAUAUUGCACAAUGCGCGGAAGGCUGAUGUAGCAACGCCGCGCGCGGGAUGACGGCCAUCGGGUUGUAAUCCGCUUCCGCCUGUGACGAAGCGUGAGUGACGGUAAUGGGUAAAGAAGCACCGGCUAACUACGUG
Molecule: ribosomal RNA, 468 nt
Filed under: uncultured bacterium
Lineage: Bacteria
Description: partial 16S ribosomal RNA
Rfam family: Bacterial small subunit ribosomal RNA
Source: RNAcentral